Olea europaea var. sylvestris is the source of this 1821-nucleotide RNA transcript. It is a transcript of the gene named putative PAP-specific phosphatase, mitochondrial, with no coding region annotated. Lineage: Eukaryota; Viridiplantae; Streptophyta; Magnoliopsida; Lamiales; Oleaceae. The record is from RefSeq and is a predicted model, not a curated record. The transcript has 11 exons.
CCUCGUGGUGAUGAUAGGAGCAAGUAGCAUAUCAAUAUCACGUUUUUUAAUAUACAGUUGCCUGCUAGCGACUUUAGUUCAGAUGAAAGGAAGACAACCUAAAACGCACUUUAUCCAAGUCAUUGACUCUCAACCAACCCCGUUCCACCUUGCCAUUUCCAUUUCCAUUUCCAUUUCCAUUCCCGCCAUGGAUGUACUUCGCUACUCGGUAGGCUCUCGAUUCCCUAAAACUCACCGCCGCAGUUCAUUCCGUGCAUUUCACUGCCAAUGCUUCUUUGCCAAAAGGUCGAGUCUAAGCCUUCCGUUUCCAGAACAUAAUGCAAAGCACUAUAAAGAGCUCCAAGCAGCUGUCAAUGUUGUCGAGAGUGCUUGUCGUCUCUGCGUUGAUGUGCAAAAAUCUUUGUUCUCAAUUGAUGGAAAAGUUGUGCAAAAAGUUGAUCGGACACCAGUUACGGUUGCAGAUUUUGGAGUUCAGGCCCUUAUCAGCUUGGAGAUGAGCAAACUAUUUCCUUCUAUUCCUUUGGUGGCUGAAGAAGACUCGGCAUUUUUGCGUGAAAAUAAUCUCGUGGAUGCUGUUGUUGAAGUGGUCGCAGAUAAAUCCGCUUCAGGAGAUAAACAGCUAAGUCAAGAUGAUGUUCUAAAGGCAAUUGACAGAGGGGGGAGUGAUGCCUAUGUGUUUGGAUCUAGACCAGCUACUUACUGGGUAUUGGAUCCUAUUGAUGGGACUCGGGGAUUCGUGAAAGGUAGUGAAGCUCUCUACGUGGUAGGUUUGGCUCUUGUAGUUGAAGGUGAGAUUGUUUUAGGCGUCAUGGGCUGCCCUAACUGGCAAGAAGAGUAUUCUGGCAAAUUCACCAGUAAUAUACAGGAAUACAAUAAUACUGCAACUAGAUCUGGGGUCAUUAUGAUAUCUCAUGUUGGGCGUGGAACAUGGAGAAAACAAUUAUGGAAUGCACAAAUUGGUGACGUCAGAAUGCCUCAAAAUUGGAUCAGGUGCUUUGUUGAUGGGCAUCACCUCAUUCAUGGGGCACGUUUUUGCAUUCCAGAAAGUCAAACCUGGGAGUCAAUGCCAUUAUCAAGUCAAUUUAAUGCAACAACUGAUGCCGAGUGUGUUGAGGGGAAACAGGUUCUUCUUGUGCAGACUUGCUGUGGAAGAUUAUUCCCUUACCGUGAUGCCCAACUCCCGCAAGAAUGGAACUGUGUAAUGCCACAUUUGUUCAUAAGAGGUGGUCCUGGAGUAAGAAAUCCCCUCUCUUGUGAUGCCCCCAACCUAAGAGAGCCUAAGAUCUUUCAUCAAACGUCUAGUCUUUGUAAAUAUUUGAUGGUAGCGUCUGGAAGGGCAUCUGUUUUCUUUCAGAGUUCAAAGACUCAAAAAACAAUAAAGGUCUGGGAUCAUGCUGUUGGAAUCAUAUGUGUCCAUGAAGCGGGAGGAAAGGGAAAAAGUUGGGCAGCAUUCUUUCUGGGGAAUCUUUUUUAGUUAUGGUCCAGUAACGAAGAAUAUUUGCAAAAGAGAGAUGACUGGUAAAUAUAAAACAGAUUUAGAAAUGGGUCUUCUGCUGCUACAAACACGUUUGUGCUAAUGACUGGAGGCCAUUCCAUAUUGUUGUUUCCUAAACUACUGCAAGAAACAUUUACAACAACCCAUUUUUGGAACGACCAUUGAUUCAAUGGUCCUACCUCUUAAAAGGUGACAGACUGGAGAGGAAGUCAACUUGAUCUUGCUGCAGAUAAGGCAGAGCGAAGGGUCAUAUUUCCUUCUAGUGGUAUUCUAGUGACAAAUAAUAGCAUUCAUAACCAGGUACUAGAGAUGAUCUCCUCAAGUUG